Daphnia pulicaria is the source of this 1442-nucleotide long non-coding RNA. RefSeq lists it as uncharacterized. The record is from RefSeq and is a predicted model, not a curated record. The transcript is spliced from 6 exons. Lineage: Eukaryota; Metazoa; Arthropoda; Branchiopoda; Diplostraca; Daphniidae.
AGUGGUCUUAUUUUCGUUUGAUUGUUUGACGUCUUCGCCAUAUUUGGAUGGAUUCCUUAUCAUGAACUGGGGAAAUUUCGGCACAGCCGGAAUUGUGAGUUGUGGAGCACGGAAAAUGGAGGUUUCUUACAUUUUUGAACUGCGAUAAGUAACAAAUCAUUCCCAAUGGGCCAAAUCAGCUGAUUACAUUCCGUCACGGCUGACCGUUUCGCCGAUAUGUCAUCUCUUGCAUCUUGCUGUAUAAAUCUCGUCCCAUGCUCAUGAAGCACUUCAUGGUAAACGUAAGUUAAAAUGUGGGAUACGUGAUACAGAGGGUGAAGUUUCCUUGGCUACUUUCCGUAUUCUUGGACAAUGAGUUGUCGUUCGCCUGUUUUCCUUAUGAUGAUGUCGGGUAUAAGUUGCUUCAUCAUUAAGUGGGUCUGCUUAUAGUGAUGCAUUUUUGUGCGGGAAUCUCUCGGAGAACAAUAGCAGACAAACCAUUGCACUUCCUGAUUUUACGUGAAGGUUGUAUGAACGUCACCUGGCGACCAGUAUAGCGUGUCGUACUAAGCCAUAAGAGCGCUCCUGGCGGUCUGAGAGUUCAAUAACUCUUCUAACUCACCGUAUCGUCGGAAGCUGCUGUCAUAUUACGACCAGCAUCACGUCCGGCUAGUUCCAAUUCGGGCGCUCGACGGUGUCGACGUCGAGUGGAUUAAAGUGGCCAAUACGAAAGCCUGCAUCAGUUUCACCACCGGCAUCCUACUCCAAGGACACGGCACCCAAGCGGCCGUGGAUCUCGGCAGGCAUCUGGCCUAAAUAAUCUCCUCGAAUGUAAUCGUCGACCGUCGCCACACAAAGCUCCAAAUUAAGAAUCUUUAGGACUUCAUCCAAUUUCCAGCGCUCGUUGGGAUUUUUUUUCGUCAUUCCAUCAAUUACGGCGAAUGCGUAAUGAUUCGGUGACAACUUUCCAUUGUCGAGAACCUUUAUAUCUGAUUGGAUGUUGGAGAUAGUUCCAAACUCGUCGGGCGAUCCUCCAUUUUUGGCAAACGGAUGGCAGCCUUCUGUGAGGUAACUGAAAUAGAGGCAGCCCAGCGAGAAGAUGUCGAUCGUCACGUUAGCUCUGAUUUUUUCUUUAUCUUCUUUGCUUUUCCCCUCGGAUUCGAUGAAUUCAGGCGAGUAAUAGAUGCGGGUGCCUUUUGGACCACUAGUCAUCGAGAAACUGCCGGAACUUGUCACGGGCCGACAGACUCCGAAAUCGGAAAUUUUCAGAACAAUCGAUUGAGAAAUCAACACGUUGGCCGGCUUGAUGUCUCGAUGGACCAAACAUUGGGAGUGGAUGUAAGCCAAUCCGCUGGCCAUUUGAAUCAACGCAUCAAUCUCGGUGGGCAUCUCCCCUUUGUAGUUUCCUUUUAUGUAAUCGUUGACUGUUGCAAUACAUAAUUCCAGUAUCAGAUACCUAUUAA